UAUUCCUACGGGGGGCAGCAGUGAGGAAUAUUGGUCAAUGGGCUUACGCCUGAACCAGCCAAGUCGCGUGAGGGAAGACUGCCCUAUGGGUUGUAAACCUCUUUUGUCAGGGAGCAAUUGGCGCUACGUGUAGCGUUAUCGAGAGUACCUGAAGAAAAAGCAUCGGCUAACUCCGUGCCAGCAGCCGCGGUAAUACGUAUGGUGCAAGCGUUAUCCGGAUUUACUGGGUGUAAAGGGAGCGCAGGCGGCGCGUUAAGCCUGGUGUGAAAGCCCGCGGCCCAACCGCGGGACUGCAUUGGGAACUG
This 305-nucleotide ribosomal RNA is filed under the name uncultured bacterium. RNAcentral describes it as "bacterial SSU rRNA". It matches the Rfam family "Bacterial small subunit ribosomal RNA", at positions 334 to 635 of the family's 1533-position model. The record is from RNAcentral.